RNAcentral lists this unclassified non-coding RNA (280 nucleotides) under fungal sp. RNAcentral describes it as "partial internal transcribed spacer region". The stretch from base 1 to 46 matches the Rfam family "Eukaryotic small subunit ribosomal RNA", at positions 1786 to 1831 of the family's 1831-position model. The record is from RNAcentral. Lineage: Eukaryota; Fungi.
AAGUCGUAACAAGGUAACCGUAGGUGAACCUGCGGUUGGAUCAUUAAUAAAUAUAUAUUUUUUAAAGAUAUAUUUUAAAAGUUGUUUUAAAAAAACCUUUUAAAUAUAUUCUUUAAACAAAUUUGUGAAUUUUAUUAAAGUCUUUUGGGUAGGUUUUCAAAAGAAAUUUACCCAAAAAAUUAUUAAAAACCAUUUGUAUCUUUUUGUUUAAGUCUUAAAAUUUUUAAUUUAAAAAAAAAUAAUUAAAAAACAACUUUCAACAACGGAUCUCUUGGUUCUG